UUACUCACUCUCUUCUUCUUCUUCCUCUAUAAAUCCGCCAUUUUUAUCGUCCGCCGGAGCUUUCUUCUCCUUUUUAAAGCUCAAUGAGAAUCUCCCCGAACCCCCAAAAGUUCGCCCAGGAAUCUUUGCAAUGAAUACUUCUUAAGCAUUGCUCGCUUUGUUUAGUGUCUCAAAAUAGCAAAUUUUGCAUGCCCAUCUUGCAAAAUUCCAAUCUCUCUGCUUUUUCCUCCUUGUGAAUAUUUCUUGAGCUGAAAUAUCAAAAAAAAUAAAAAUUAGUAUCUGUCUUGGUGUGCUUUUAUUCCUCUGCUUUGGGAUUUUUUUGAACAAAAAAUCAAGAAUCUGUCUUGGUGUGCUUUUUAUUCCUCUUCUUUGAGAAUUUUCUGAGCAAAAAAAGUCAAGAAUCUGUCUUGGUGUGCUUUUAUUCCUCUGCGUUGAGUUUGAUAAUGGUUUCUCUACAAGAUUCUCAGGCUCACGCAAAUUCCGGCAGCAAUAGCUUCAACCAAACGCGGCCUUGUUACUACUACACUCCGCCGCCGCCGUCGGCCAGAAUCCAGCGGUCUAUUGGCCGUUCCAUGAGGACCAUCCGGUCGAAUCUUUACAGAAGCGGAUGCUCCGUUUCUGAAAAAUCCGGCAACGUAUCCGAGAAUCUGACGGACUCCGUCGUUGAUAUCCGGCUUGGGGAGCUCGCUAGUAAGCCCGCAAUCAACAAAUCCUCCUGUUCGGAAGAGGAAUUUCUGGAGAUUUCACAAACAUUCAGCGAUUUCUCGGCUUGUAGCAGUGAUAUUUCCGGCGAAUUGCAGCGGCUCGCUAGCCUGCCGACUGCGGCGGAUCCGGUUGAGAGCCAGACACCUAACUCAGAGCCGGAGCCGGAACCUUGUCAAGGGUUUCUUCAGAGAGACACGUUUUCGACUGAAAUAAUCGAGAGCAUAUCGCCUGAGGAUCUUCAUCCCACGGUGAAGCUCUGCCUAGACGGCUUACAAUCUUCCUCAGUGGCGGUGAAACGAUCAGCCGCCGCAAAGCUGAGGCUUUUAGCUAAGAACCGAGCCGAUAAUCGGGCUUUGAUAGGAGAAUCCGGCGCAAUACCCGCACUUAUACCUCUUCUCCGCUGCUCCGAUCCCUGGACUCAAGAACACGCCGUCACGGGGCUUCUAAACCUCUCCCUUCAUGAGCCUAACAAAACCGUCAUAACCGACGCCGGCGCCAUAAAAUCACUGGUUUACGUGCUUAAAACUGGCACAGAGACGUCCAAACAGAACGCGGCUUGCGCUUUGUUGAGCCUGGCUUUGAUUGACGAAAAUAAGUUGUCAAUUGGGGCUUGUGGUGCCAUUCCACCAUUGGUGGCUCUGCUCAUCAAUGGAUCCAACCGCGGUAAAAAGGACUCGUUAACCACGCUUUAUAAGCUCUGUUCAGUGAAGUUAAACAAGGAGAGGGCUGUGAGUGCAGGUGCUGUGAAGCCGCUGGUGGAGCUGGCUGGAGUGAAUGGAACUGGGCUUGCCGAGAAGGCUAUGGUGGUCUUGAACAGCCUGGCAGCGAUUGAAAUUGGCAGAGAUUCGAUUGUGGAGGAAGGAGGAAUUGCAGCCCUGGUGGAGGCUAUUGAGGAUAGUUCCGAUAAGGGGAAGGAAUUUGCGGUGCUCACGCUUCUGCAAUUGUGUAUUGAUAGUGUUAGGAAUCGGGGAAUGCUCGUGAGAGAAGGUGGAAUUCCUCCUCUUGUUGCCUUGUCUCAGAAUGGAACUGCUAAAGCUAAGCACAAGGCUGAAACACUUCUUGGGUACUUGAGAGAACCGAGGCAAGAAGCUUCUACGUCAACUCCUUAGAGGCUUAGAGAGGUACGAGGAAGAAGAUGGCCACAAGUCCAGUGAGUGAACAGCCUGCAAACAAGAGGAAUGUCCCUGAAGUGCCAAUAGCCUCUAUGAGAGUCAAGAAAGUGAGUGAGACGACGAGAUUUGAAACCCAGUUAGCUACUGCGGCUAUUCCUCCUCCAACACCGUGGUAUCUCAAAGGGUAAAUCUCAGAGUUCACGACCCAUGGCAGUGUCCCCAUCCCAGGAGCAUAGGAUAUGAUGAACAAUCCGAGUAGCAAGACUGCAAAGAUCCCAUAUUUGCUGGGGCAGCCUUCUGUGUACCAUGAUCACCCUACUGAGUGGCCCGAGUGUUUCAUUUCAUCAGUCACAGAUAAACAGGCUCCUGGAUUGUACUGUUAAGAUCAGAUCCAGAAAUGAGCAGAAUGAACAGUGGUGAGAGGUGGCAUGCUGAUGCACACACGAGUAGCAGCUCCAGGAUGAUGGUUGAUUAUUUGAUCCGGCUGCGAAUAAGGAAGUGGAGCAUGUUGAAUUGAGGCCAAAGUGUUGGGAUUGGGAGAGGCUAACUGGCGGGGAAUGUUGAGAGGCGAGAUAAAGGAGACCA
This is an RNA transcript of Ipomoea triloba (trilobed morning glory), 2402 nucleotides long. It is a transcript of the gene named U-box domain-containing protein 4, with no coding region annotated. The record is from RefSeq and is a predicted model, not a curated record. The transcript has 4 exons. NCBI's taxonomy places the organism in Eukaryota, Viridiplantae, Streptophyta, Magnoliopsida, Solanales, Convolvulaceae.